GACGAACGUUGGCGGCGUGCUUAAUACAUGCAAGUCCACUGAAGCAGUGGUAGCAAUGUCGCUGUGGAGGUGGCGCACGGGUGAGUAACACGUAGGUAAUCUGCCUUCAGGUCUGGCAUAACUCCGGGAAACCGGGGCUAAUAGCAGAUGAUGCAGCGGCUCGACAUCGAGACAGUUGUUAAAGCUAUGGCGCCUGAAGAUGAGCCUGCGUCUGAUUAGCUAGUUGGCGGGGUAACGGCCCACCAAGGCAACGAUCAGUAGCUGGUCUGAGAGGAUGAUCAGCCACACGGGAACUGAGACACGGUCCAGACUCCUACGGGAGGCAGCAGUAAGGAAUAUUGCUCAAUGGGAGAAAUCCUGAAGCAGCAACGCCGCGUGAGGGACGAAGGGCUUUUGCUUGUAAACCUCUGUAGUGAGAGAAAAAAAUCCCAAUCUUUGGGACAUGAUGGUAUCUCAAAAGUAAGCCCCGGCUAACUACGUG
This 481-nucleotide ribosomal RNA is filed under the name uncultured bacterium. RNAcentral describes it as "partial 16S ribosomal RNA". It matches the Rfam family "Bacterial small subunit ribosomal RNA", at positions 28 to 507 of the family's 1533-position model. The record is from RNAcentral.